RNAcentral lists this unclassified non-coding RNA (211 nucleotides) under uncultured fungus. RNAcentral describes it as "partial contains 18S rRNA, ITS1 and 5.8S rRNA". Lineage: Eukaryota; Fungi. The record is from RNAcentral.
AGGUGAACCUGCGGAGGGAUCGUUACAAGUGACCCCGGUCUAACCACCGGGAUGUUCAUAACCCUUUGUUGUCCGACUCUGUUGCCUCCGGGGCGACCCUGCCUUCGGGCGGGGGCUCCGGGUGGACACUUCAAACUCUUGCGUAACUUUGCAGUCUGAGUAAACUUAAUUAAUAAAUUAAAACUUUUAACAACGGAUCUCUUGGUUCUGG